This is an RNA transcript of Capra hircus (goat), 3610 nucleotides long. It is a transcript of the gene named Rho GTPase activating protein 17, with no coding region annotated. The transcript is spliced from 22 exons. The record is from RefSeq and is a predicted model, not a curated record. Lineage: Eukaryota; Metazoa; Chordata; Mammalia; Artiodactyla; Bovidae.
CCUGGGGAGCCGUGCCGCCGCCGCCGCGCCUCGGCCGGGAAGCGAUGUAGGAGCCGCCAGGCCGUCCCCCGUCCUGCCCGGCCGGAGCCCCGCGGGCCGCCGCCGCCGCCGCCGCCGCCAUGAAGAAGCAGUUCAACCGCAUGAAGCAGCUGGCCAACCAGACCGUGGGCAGGGCCGAGAAAACAGAAGUCCUCAGUGAAGAUCUGUUACAGAUUGAGCGGCGCCUGGACACAGUGCGCUCCAUGUGCCACCAUUCCCACAAGCGUCUCAUGGCCUGCUUCCAGGGCCAGCAUGGCACCGACGCGGAGAGGAGACAUAAAAAACUCCCUCUGACAGCUCUCGCUCAGAAUAUGCAGGAAGCAUCAACUCAGCUGGAAGACUCUCUCCUGGGGAAGAUGCUGGAGACGUGUGGAGAUGCUGAGAAUCAGCUGGCUCUGGAACUCUCUCAGCACGAAGUUUUUGUGGAGAAGGAGAUUGUGGACCCUCUGUACGGCAUCGCAGAGGUUGAGAUUCCCAACAUCCAGAAGCAGAGGAAGCAGCUCGCCAAACUGGUGUUAGACUGGGACUCGGUCAGAGCCAGGUGGAACCAGGCUCACAAAUCUUCAGGAACCAACUUUCAGGGGCUUCCAUCAAAAAUAGAUACCCUAAAGGAAGAGAUGGAUGAAGCUGGAAAUAAAGUAGAACAGUGCAAGGAUCAACUUGCAGCGGACAUGUACAACUUUAUGGCCAAAGAAGGGGAGUACGGCAAAUUCUUUAUUACGUUAUUAGAAGCUCAAGCAGAUUACCAUAGAAAAGCAUUAGCAGUCUUAGAAAAGGCCCUUCCCGAGUUGCGAGCCCAUCAAGAUAAGUGGGCGGAGAAGCCCGCCUUUGGGACGCCUUUGGAAGAACACCUGAAGCGGAGCGGCCGUGAGAUCGCACUGCCCAUCGAGGCCUGCGUGAUGCUCCUGCUGGAGACGGGCAUGAAGGAGGAGGGCCUUUUCCGAAUUGGGGCUGGGGCCUCCAAGUUAAAGAAGCUGAAAGCUGCUCUAGACUGUUCUACUUCUCACCUGGAUGAGUUCUACUCUGACCCCCACGCUGUAGCAGGUGCUUUGAAGUCCUAUUUACGGGAGCUGCCUGAACCUUUGAUGACUUUUAAUCUGUAUGAAGAAUGGACACAAGUUGCGAGUGUACAGGAUCAAGACAAAAAACUUCAGGAUUUAUGGAGAACAUGUCAGAAGUUGCCACCACAAAAUUUUGUUAACUUUAGGUAUUUAAUCAAGUUCCUUGCGAAGCUUGCUCAGACCAGCGACAUUAAUAAAAUGACCCCCAGCAACAUUGCAAUCGUGUUAGGCCCUAACUUGUUAUGGGCCAAAAAUGAAGGAACGCUUGCUGAGAUGGCAGCUGCCACUUCCGUCCACGUGGUUGCAGUCAUCGAACCCAUCAUCCAGCACGCCAACUGGUUCUUCCCUGAAGAGGUGGAAUUUAAUGUGUCAGAAGCGUUUGUACCUCUCACCACCCCAAAUUCCAAUCACUCAUCCCACACUGGAAAUGACCCGGUCGACUCGGGGACCCUGGAGAGGAAGCGGCCUGCCAGCAUGGCGGUGAUGGAGGGGGACCUGGUGAAGAAGGAGAGCUUUGGUGUGAAGCUUAUGGACUUCCAGGCCCACCGGCGGGGUGGCACCCUAAAUAGAAAGCACGUAUCCCCUGCUUUCCAGCCGCCACUCCCGCCCACAGAUGGCAGCACCUUGGCUCCAGCGGGCCCAGAGCCCCCUCCCCAGAGCUCUAGGGCCGAGAGCAGCACAGGGGGUGGGACUGGCCCCUCCUCUGCGGGCAUUCUGGAGCAGGGGCCCAGCCCGGGCGACAGCAGUCCUCCAAAGCCCAAGGACUCUGCGGCUGCCCCCGCGCCCGGGAGGAACAGCAGUCAGGCGGCCCCCGGCCCAAGCCAGGCCCAGGCAGCUGCCGGCUCCCAUCAGCUCUCUGUGGGCCCCGCGCACAAUUCCGCCGGCCCGAGCCCUCACACCGUGCGCCGAGCUGUUAAAAAACCUGCUCCAGCACCCCCGAAACCAGGAAACCCGCCUCCUGGCCAUCCGGGGGGCCAGAGUUCUCCAGGAACAUCUCAGCACCCACCCAGCCUGUCGCCAAAGCCGUCCACCCGCAGCCCUUCUCCCCCGACCCAGCCCCCAGGCCAGGCCCCGGGCCAGCCCUGCGCCACCUCACAGCUCUCGGCACCACGGAGGUACUCCAGCAGCCUGCCUCCGAUCCAAGCCCCCAACCACCCGCCGCCGCAGCCCCCGACGCAGGCCGCAUCGCCAUCGGCGCUCACCAAGCCCGGCAGCCAGGGCCCACCGGCGCCCGGGGCGCCCGGUGAGCCUGGACUCGAGCAGUCGUCCCACACCCCUCCCCAGACUCCGACGCCCCCCAGCACUCCGCCCCUCGGAAAACAGAACCCCGGCCAGGCGGUGAGUAACCCAGAGACCGCACAGCCACACGCUGGAACCUUACCGAGACCGAGACCAGUACCAAAGCCAAGGAACCGGCCCAACGUGCCCCCGCCCCCUCAUCCUCCCGGCGCGCACGCCGGGGAUGGCAACCUCAGCAUCGCAGCUCCCACCGCCUCCAAAAUAGUCACAGAUGCCCUUCCUAGCGCCCUCACAGGUGGGGAAGGUUUCCAGGAGUAAGAUGUAUGACCUGCCAUAUUCAGUAAGAACUGAAAUUGGAAUAUUUAAUGACACCAAUUCUAGGGUUUCAGAACCGCUUCGCAGCAUCUUUCCUGAAAUGCAAUCAGACUCAGCCAGCAAAGACCUGCCUGGCCGCAUUCUGUUGGAUAUGGACAAUGAUACAGAAAGCACUGCCCUGUGAAGAAAGCCAUGCCCCACCCUUGACCCCUUCCACCCUGGCGAGUGGAGCAGGGGCAGGCAGAUGUUAAUCUUCAUAGACCAAACAGUGAGAAGCUUUCAGUGAAGGGGAAAAAAGAAAGGCCUCACCAUGCUGGACUUGGCCUUCUCACAGCCCCAGGAGAGAGCAGAGGCUGACACUUAAAGCUGGAUGACCUGUGUCUUGAAGAAGUUGGCUUUUUUUACAUGGGAAAGAAUCAUGCCAAAAAAAAAAAUUUUUUUUUUUUUAAGAGAGAUACCAACAGUGGAAGUGUAUCAUUGCUGAGACACGUGUUGGAAGCUUUUGUCCCUGUUGUUCACACAGGCAGCACCACCGGCAACUUGGAAUGAGCAAAGAGCCUUGCAUUAACACUCUAUUUAAUGACGUACAUCCAUUAUGCUCACCUACUUCCUGCUGCUUGGACUUUCCUUCUCAUCUAUCACAAGGGAGUUUCCUCUCCUUCAGACAUGCUGCAGAAUCAUUUUGUAUGAAGUAUGGUCUGUGUCUCCCCGACCCCUCAGAACCACGAGCAUUGGGGGUGACUGCUGGAUCCGUCACCUCAGCAAACUGGAUCGCCUUGUGCCUUGUUGGAUUGCCAGAAUGUAGACAGAAAUGUACUGUUCUUUUUUUUUUUUUUUUUAAACAAUGUAAUUGCUACUUGAUAAGGACCGAACGUUAUUCUAGUUUCAUGUUUAAUUUGAAUUAAAUAUAUUCUGUGGUUUAUAUGAAAACUAUCAUUCUUGCAGGCAAAACUGUG